GCAGGAACCCUCAGAGGGCUUAGAAGACCCGCAGCCCUCCCCCAUUGUGACAGGGGAGUUAGAAUUCUAUGGCAACAGUGGGUACCCCUGGGCCUCCCCUUCUGGUAGAGGCUGAAGGUCAGGAACAAGGAAGGAGGGAGUCUCCCGGAUGCAGAGAGUUUACAAGGCAAUGGGGAGGUGAGGGAGCCAGCCUCAGCCACCUUCCGCUUCCUGCAGAAAAUGGUCAAAGGGAGACGCUUCAACCCACCUUUAGACAAGGACGGAAGAUGGUUCCCUCAGAUUGGACUCACGCAAAAGACACCAGAAUCCAUCACCAGUGCGAUGUUAAAAGAACCCCACAGUCCACGUUUGUCUCGGCAAGUGGAGGGGAAGCUACCACCCAUCUACAAGGUUCGAGAGAAGCAAGCAGUGGACAACAACUUCCCCUUCUCUGUACACGACAAUCGCUACAGCUUUCAGAGCUCUGGAUGCUACCUUGACUCUGGCCUGGGACGUAAGAAGAUCUCCCCAGAGAAAAGGCAACAGGUGUCAAGAAAUUUCAACCUGUGGGCAUGUGACUAUGUCCCGACUUGUCUUGAUGGCUUUUCAAAUAACCAAAUAUCUUACGUCUGUCAAGAAAUCGUGGUGGUCCCAAUUUUCAGACGCUUCCCAAGACAUUAUAAUGAGAUAUGGAACUCUUUUAAAUUUAUUCCUCAGAGAAGCUAUACAGAGUUUUUGAAAAAAAAUCCAAAGUUUAAACAACACAGAGGAAGCAGAAGUCCCCCUUGAUUUCAUCCCAUCUCCAAUCCUUGUCCUGUCCCUGGAAUCGAAAUCGGACAGAUCUGCAGGUUUCCAAAUUGGGCAACACCGACAUAAAAGCACACAUCACGUUUUCUUCCCUUCUUUCCCUCGGCCCAAACGGAAGCCAGCUUCAGAAAGUCGGAUCCAAGAAGCGUUACUUCGGCAUCACCCGGGCGCUGGUCUGGUCACAUCACUUAUAGUGGACAACGCUGGCUCCCAGCAGAAGGACCAGGUAUGCUCAUGACCCAGGGUCAUAGAGUUGUUCACAGGAUCAUAAGCGACAGCACGAGCAUCUGGCCUUCCGUGCCCAAGAACACAUCGCUAUACCUUAGGCCUGAAGGAGAAAGAUUGAAACUGUCUUAAAUAUUCUCCUGCUGUUUAUAACCUUGGUGUGAGUGUCCAGGACCAUUGUCAGCCGUGAGUGGCGUGUGCAAUCCUUCCACACACGCCGUGGGAGUCCCCAAGGAGGAAGGACAAGCCUCAACAAUAUCCCAUGGAAGAAAUCGGACUGUUCCCCUGAGAACAGGCACCAACGUCUAACCUAACCAAUGCCUGACAUCUGUCACAUUCAGAAUCUUUAAAAGGAAGGAUUUGGCCCUGCGCACCCACAGUCACUGGAGAGCUCAGUGUCGUUAGCCGAUCAGCACAGCUCUGAUCAAAGCAGAAGAGAAAACAUCAGCGGGGUUUUACUACACAGUUCCGCCAGCCCCCAGAUGGAAACAAAUUAUUUUGACACCAAACUAUGAACUGAGCCAGAACAUCAACAUUCUCUCUCUGGAGCAAACCCGAUCUUCAGUCUACGUGUGGACACCUCUCCAUUCUCCAUGUUCGCCCUUUAUCAGCUUGCGUUUCACUCAAAGGAGCAUUUAAACACUAUUAUGGUGGGGGUGGGGGGCGGUCUGGACCGUGUUCAGUCCCUCCCCCCACGCCGGGGACUGUUGGGGACCAAGGGACAAGGGGGCCCAGUCUGGUGGGAGGCUGACACACGCUUAAGAGCUAAGUCAGUGGCUAAGCUGGACGCACAGGGCAAGGAUACGCACGAACUUUCUGGAACAGGUGUUCCCUCGCCAGAUUUGGAGAGACUGCCAUCUAACUGCCCUGGGCAGCAUUGAGAACCGAAGGCGCAGCUCGGGAGCCUCGGACAUGCAGCUUUUCGGUUUCUCCCUUUAUUGUCGGGUCACUGCCCACUCCCAGCACUGGCCCCAGCACUGGCCCGGGCUCCAAGGGGAAAGGAGUGUCCAGCCAAUAUUCACACGAUCACCCGGCGCCAUCCCCACAUGCUGAUACCAGGCAGCGGAGGGUCCUGGGAAGACAUCAGGAGAUUCGACAGCUGGAAUACAUUUUGUGUCUGUCGACGCGGGUUUAAUGUGACUUUGUGGAAGCCUGCGAUAGUUCACACUGGGAGAAGCAUUCCAAGUUUCCAGCUUGGAGUCAAAACAGAUGCUGCCGAGAGUUCUGAAAGCUGAGAUGCAAGAAUGAAUGAUGCCGUGGGGAAAAACCAGUGCCUUCCAAAACCUCUCAGUCUGUCCACACCUGUCUGAAUCCAGUUGGUACUAACGUGUCCACUCCGAGGUGAGGACAGGACGGCCACCGUUAAUAUAUCCCUUGGGUCGUGUCUCCAGUGUCAGAGCAAAGAGGGACCUGAUGAUU
RNA transcript from Hyaena hyaena (striped hyena), 2430 nucleotides. It is a transcript of the gene named testis expressed 36, with no coding region annotated. NCBI's taxonomy places the organism in Eukaryota, Metazoa, Chordata, Mammalia, Carnivora, Hyaenidae. The transcript has 8 exons. The record is from RefSeq and is a predicted model, not a curated record.